GGGUCGAUAUCCAAGUCUGAUCAAGGAAGCCGUCUGUAAAACGGUUGCGCAAGCAUCGUUGGUUCAAAUCCAACUCGACCCACCA
This 85-nucleotide transfer RNA is filed under the name Leptolyngbya sp. RNAcentral describes it as "tRNA-Tyr". It matches the Rfam family "tRNA". Rfam says of the family: Transfer RNA (tRNA) molecules are approximately 80 nucleotides in length. Their secondary structure includes four short double-helical elements and three loops (D, anti-codon, and T loops). RNAcentral also lists the same sequence under 10 other names. Lineage: Bacteria; Bacillati; Cyanobacteriota; Cyanophyceae; Leptolyngbyales; Leptolyngbyaceae. The record is from RNAcentral.